GAUUGUGGGUCUGGCAUGAUUCUAAUUCUGCGGACACUCUCUCGCGUAGUGCUGGGCACUCCCGCAUAUGUGACAGGUGUUAUUGAGACAAUAACAAAGUCGGUCUCCAUGAUCCUUGUCACAGUGUUGACAAGCCUUGCUGUGUCCUAUUGCUGGAGCUUGGGAAGGAGCUUAAGUCACAGGACUUGGUCUCUUAUUCUGCUGAUUCAGUACAGUAGGUGUUGGCUUGUGAUAUGGAACCGGUGGUCU
Molecule: long non-coding RNA, 249 nt
Filed under: Carica papaya (papaya)
Lineage: Eukaryota; Viridiplantae; Streptophyta; Magnoliopsida; Brassicales; Caricaceae
Description: long non-coding RNA (CPAP_LNC003029)
Source: RNAcentral